AAAGCGUAAUGUAGAGGUAGAUAUCAUAUAUAGUUACUGCUUCUUUGUCGUCUUUCUUCUAACAAAUUGAAGUCUACAUGACUUUACAACUGUCAAUUAGCGAAUAAUGGUCAUAUUUCAAGAAUGAGUACUUGCGAUAAGUGAUGCAGUGUGUAAACGCAGAAAUAAUUAGGUUACAAGCAAGUUUUUAUAGAAAUUUGUACCCAAAUUCAUAGAAAAUUACUGUUUUAUUAACUGAAUAAUAUGAUUCCAGCAGAACAUAUUUAUAGCAAUUUACUACCCGAUUUGGUUAUCUUAAAGAGUCCAGUAAUAGCCUUGAUUAGAAUAACAAAGUAUUUAAUGGAAUAGGAAAAGAAAAGUGAAUGGCCUACCUUUACUAAAAGCCCUAAACUAGGAAUUUUAUCAAACUAAAGUAAAUCCUAAAAGUGAUAGGAAAAUAAUACAGCAUAUAUUAUAAAAUGAUAGGAAGAAAGAAGAGUCAAAAGUUAGGCUGUCA
This 496-nucleotide unclassified non-coding RNA is filed under the name Hevea brasiliensis (rubber tree). Lineage: Eukaryota; Viridiplantae; Streptophyta; Magnoliopsida; Malpighiales; Euphorbiaceae. The record is from RNAcentral.